Molecule: long non-coding RNA, 792 nt
Organism: Ornithorhynchus anatinus (platypus)
Lineage: Eukaryota; Metazoa; Chordata; Mammalia; Monotremata; Ornithorhynchidae
Exons: 3
Source: RefSeq, a predicted model, not a curated record
CACAGAGUAGGCGCUCCAUAAUUAGACUGAGCCCCUUGGUGGGCAGAGUGGUCUCUCUCUGUGUGUCCGAAUGGUAGUUUCGCAGCGCUUAGGCCAGCGCUCCGCACAGAGCAAGCGCUCCCUAACUAGACCGUGAGCCGGUCGUUGGGGAGGGAUCGUCUGGGCGUGUGCGUCCGCACUGGGGUUUCCCAGCGCUUAGGACGGCGCUCCGCAGAGGGUAAGCGCUGGAAAAUCAAGAGAGUGGUUGGGAUCACCAAGAACUAUGGAAACCUAGGGCUGGAAAGCAAUUUAUUUCUUGAAAGGAUUUACUGGACUCCUACUUUGAAGAGGAUGCUGUACUGACCUCGGGGAAAUGGCAAAGAAAGUGGACUAUUUGAUCCCUCUCCUUCGAGGAACUCCCAAAAUCUCCUGCCAUCGAGAUUAGCCACUCGGAAGCAGUGGGAUCCGGAAGGAGAAGACGGAGGCUCCGAAGCGAGAAUGUGGGGUCGAGAGGCCUAGCCGAGAAACACACUGGGCCCUGCUGACUUCCGUUCGAGAUUCCGUGCGAUGUCAUGGUGUUCCUCUGCGUGACCGGGGUGAUGCACGGAUGGCAAAGGACGUUUCAAGGACGGCAAAAGGGUGCCUGGUAUCCACGAGCACUUGCGGCGAUCACCUUAUUGGAAGAAGAAAGGCUCGUAACCACAGACGGAGGGUACACACAUAGAUAAACAGGAAUAAACUACGUAUAUAAUGGAAGCUACUGAAAGCACAGAAAGGAAGAACAAUACAUGGAAAAAAGUUCUUGGAAGGACA